This 478-nucleotide ribosomal RNA is filed under the name uncultured bacterium. RNAcentral's name for it is "partial 16S ribosomal RNA". It matches the Rfam family "Bacterial small subunit ribosomal RNA", at positions 28 to 507 of the family's 1533-position model. The record is from RNAcentral.
GAUGAACGCUGGCGGCGUGCUUAACACAUGCAAGUCGAACGAGAAAUGUAGACGGAAACCUUCGGGCGGAAGCCUUCAUUUCGAGUGGCGGACGGGUGAGUAACGCGUGGGUAACCUGCCUCAUACAGGGGGAUAACAGUUGGAAACGACUGUUAAUACCGCAUAAGACCACAGCAUCGCAUGAUGCGGGGGUAAAAACUCCGGUGGUAUGAGAUGGACCCGCGUUCGAUUAGCCAGUUGGCGGGGUAACGGCCCACCAAAGCGACGAUCGAUAGCCGAUCUGAGAGGAUGACCGGCCACAUUGGGACUGAGACACGGCCCAAACUCCUACGGGAGGCAGCAGUGGGGAAUAGUGCACAAUGGGGGAAACCCUGAUGCAGCGACGCCGCGUGAGUGAAGAAGUACUUCGGUAUGUAAAGCUCUAUCAGCAGGGAAGAAAAUGACGGUACCUGAGUAAGAAGCCCCGGCUAACUACGUG